Molecule: ribosomal RNA, 468 nt
Filed under: uncultured bacterium
Lineage: Bacteria
Description: partial 16S ribosomal RNA
Rfam family: Bacterial small subunit ribosomal RNA
Source: RNAcentral
GACGAACGCUGGCGGCGUGCUUAACACAUGCAAGUCGAACGGAAAGGCCCUGCUUUUGUGGGGUGCUCGAGUGGCGAACGGGUGAGUAACACGUGAGUAACCUGCCCUUGACUUUGGGAUAACUUCAGGAAACUGGGGCUAAUACCGGAUAGGAGCUCCUGCUGCAUGGUGGGGGUUGGAAAGUUUCGGCGGUUGGGGAUGGACUCGCGGCUUAUCAGCUUGUUGGUGGGGUAGUGGCUUACAAAGUCUUUGACGGGUAGCCGGCCUGAGAGGGUGACCGGCCACAUUGGGACUGAGGUACGGCCCAGACUCCUACGGGAGGCAGCAGGGGGGAAUAUUGCGCAGUAGGCGGAAGCCUGAUGCAGCAACGCCGCGUGCGGGAUGACGGCCUUCGAGUUGUAAACCGCUUUCGCCUGUGACGAAGCGUGAGUGACGGUAAUGGGUAAAGAAGCACCGGCUAACUACGUG